RNAcentral lists this ribosomal RNA (357 nucleotides) under uncultured bacterium. Its description in RNAcentral is "partial 16S ribosomal RNA". It matches the Rfam family "Bacterial small subunit ribosomal RNA", at positions 338 to 693 of the family's 1533-position model. The record is from RNAcentral.
CCUACGGGUGGCUGCAGUGAGGAAUAUUGGUCAAUGUCCGGAAGGCUGAACCAGCCAAGCCGCGUGAGGGUGGAAGGCGCAGAGCGUCGCAGACCUCUUUUGCCGGGGGACAAAAGGCCGGACUCGUCCGGUCCUGAGGGUACCCUGAGAAAAAGCAUCGGCAAACUCCGUGCCAGCAGCCCCGGUCAUCCGGGGGAUCCGAGCGGUAUCCGGAUUCAGUGGGAUUAAAGGGUGGGCAGGCGGGCCUUUAAGCCGGCUGAGAAAUCGCGGGGCUAAACCCCGCCGAGCCGUCGGAACUGGGGGCCUUGAGUGCGGCGGAGGCAUGCGGAAUGCGCGGUGUAGCGGUGAAAUGCAUAG